Molecule: ribosomal RNA, 1167 nt
Filed under: Triticum aestivum (bread wheat)
Lineage: Eukaryota; Viridiplantae; Streptophyta; Magnoliopsida; Poales; Poaceae
Description: partial small subunit ribosomal RNA
Source: RNAcentral
AUGGCCGUGUCCUCCGCUGCUCGCCGCCUCCUCCUCGUCGUCACCGUGACCGUCGUCUCCGUCGCGGCCGCGGCGCCAUCCUCGCCGGGGCCGUUCCGGACGCUGUACGCCUUCGGCGACUCGUUGACGGACACGGGCAACACGCACUCCACAACGGGGCCAUACUCCUUCGGCGUGUCCCACCCACCGUACGGCGCCACCUUCUUCCACCGCCCCACCAACCGCUACUCCGACGGCCGCCUCGUCGUCGACUUCCUCGCCACCGACUUCGUUGCCCUCCCCUCCUUCCUCCCGCCUUACCUCUCUACCCUCUCCCGCAACGCCAACGCCACCAAAGCCAGCUACUCUGGCGUCAACUUUGCGGUGGCCGGCGCGACGGCCAUCGAGCACGAGUUCUUCGUCAGGCAGAACCUCAGCGCCAACAUCACGCCGCAGUCCAUCAUGACGCAGCUCGGCUGGUUCGACGCGCACUUCAAGGCGCGGCGGGCCAGCGGCGGCGGCAAGGACGGGGGCGUCGGCGAUGCGUUGUUCUGGGUGGGCGAGAUCGGCGCCAACGACUACGGGUACAAUUUCAUGGCCCCCGACGCCCUCCCGUCAGAGCGCAUCCGGAGCAUGGCCAUCGAUAGGAUCACCACCUUCCUCGAGGGGCUGCUGAACAGAGGGGCCGGGUAUGUGGUGGUGCAGGGGAUGCCGCUGACGGGAUGCUUGCCGUUGACGAUGACGCUGUCGCGGUCGGGGGACCGGGACAACCUCAGCUGCGUGGCGUCCGUCAACCAGCAGAGCCUCGACCACAACCACCACCUCCAGGCGGCGCUCCACCGGCUCCGGCGUAGCCACCCGGACGCCAUCAUCGCCUACGCCGACUAUCACGCCGCGCACCUCGCCGUGGUGCGCAGCCCGGCCAGGUACGGCUUCGCGGAGCCCUUCAAGGCCUGCUGCGGCACAGGCGGCGGCGCCUACAACUUUGAGAUCUUCGCCACCUGCGGCUCGCCGGAGGUCGCCACCGCCUGCGCCCAGCCCGCCAGGUACGUCAACUGGGACGGGGUGCACAUGACCGAGGCCAUGUACAAGGUCGUCGCCGGCAUGUUCUUCCACGACGCCACCGGGGCGUACUGCCGGCCCACCUUUGGCUCCCUGCUGGCCGCCAGGAAAGGCCAGGGCAAGUGA